UGAUUCUGUGUUGUAACCCCUAUGCUCUGUUUUUAUAGCCGAGAGAUUGAUUCCACUGUGCUCUGCUUUUUCCUUUAUUAUCAACUUCUUCCAACGGAUUCAGAGUUUCAACAUACAUACUCUGCUGUUUUCUGUCACCAUCAUACUCUCUCUUCCACCGUGUAACCACCAUGAGCUGUGUCUAUGUGAUGAAAUUUAC
This is a non-coding RNA of Arabidopsis thaliana (thale cress), 199 nucleotides long. Lineage: Eukaryota; Viridiplantae; Streptophyta; Magnoliopsida; Brassicales; Brassicaceae. The record is from RefSeq.